AAGACUAUAGACCUGCGGAGUACCUGCGGAGGGAUCAUUACCGAGUUUACAACUCCCAAACCCCCUGUGAACUUAUACCAUUACUGUUGCUUCGGCGGGUUAUUGCCCCGGGGAAGGACAGGCUGCCGCAAGGUGCCCUGCCGCCCCCCCGGAAACAGGCGCCCGCCGGGGGACUUAAACUCUAUAUUUUUUUCUUGUUUCAGUGUAUACUGUCUGAGUAAAAAAACAUAAUGAAUCAAA
Molecule: unclassified non-coding RNA, 240 nt
Filed under: soil metagenome
Description: partial contains 5.8S ribosomal RNA, internal transcribed spacer 2, and large subunit ribosomal RNA
Source: RNAcentral